CAGGUCUUGACAUCCCGCUAACGAGGUAGAGAUACGUUAGGUGCCCUUCGGGGAAAGCGGAGACAGGUGGUGCAUGGUUGUCGUCAGCUCGUGUCGUGAGAUGUUGGGUUAAGUCCCGCAGCGAGCGCAACCCUUACUGUUAGUUGCUACGCAAGAGCACUCUAGCAGGACCGCCGUUGACAAAACGGAGGAAGGUGGGGAUGAUGUCAAAUCAUCAUGCCCCUUAUGACCUGGGCCUCACACGUACUACAAUGGCCAUCAACAGAGGGAGGCAAAGCCGCGAGGCAGAGCAAAACCCUAAAAAUGGUCCCAGUUCGGAUCGCAGGCUGCAACCCGCCUGCGUGAAGUUGGAAUUGCUAGUAAUCGCGGAUCAGCAUGCCGCGGUGAAUACGUUCCC
Molecule: ribosomal RNA, 397 nt
Filed under: uncultured bacterium
Lineage: Bacteria
Description: bacterial SSU rRNA
Rfam family: Bacterial small subunit ribosomal RNA
Source: RNAcentral